RNAcentral lists this ribosomal RNA (301 nucleotides) under uncultured bacterium. RNAcentral's name for it is "partial 16S ribosomal RNA". It matches the Rfam family "Bacterial small subunit ribosomal RNA", at positions 509 to 809 of the family's 1533-position model. The record is from RNAcentral.
CAGCAGCCGCGGGAAUACGGAGGGAGCUAGCGUUGUUCGGAAUCACUGGGCGUAAAGCGCACGUAGGCGGCUAUUCAAGUCAGGGGUGAAAGCCCGGGGCUCAACCCCGGAACUGCCUUUGAAACUAGAUAGCUUGAAUCUUGGAGAGGCGAGUGGAAUUCCGAGUGUAGAGGUGAAAUUCGUAGAUAUUCGGAAGAACACCAGUGGCGAAGGCGACUCGCUGGACAAGUAUUGACGCUGAGGUGCGAAAGCGUGGGGAGCAAACAGGAUUAGAUACCCCGGUAGUCCCUGUCUCUUAUAA